UNCAAGUUCUACUCACUUUAAGCUGUAGC
This 29-nucleotide non-coding RNA is filed under the name Rattus norvegicus (Norway rat). Lineage: Eukaryota; Metazoa; Chordata; Mammalia; Rodentia; Muridae. The record is from RNAcentral.